GUCCUCCAUAUGAAAAAUAAUUUGUGUGUUUUUAGUGGACGGGAUAUGAUCGGAAAACUUUAGAAUCCAACCCAAAAGUUUUCCUCUUCCAAAUGACCGUGAGUAUAACGUUUAUUUCUUCAAUCUGGUCAGUCACACAGAAAUGCUUAGGGCCUGUGUCACGGAACCACAUUAAGCCUUAUUCCAUGUUUAAAAGCCAUUUCCAUUGAGCAUGCUUUUCAGUCCAGGUUUAGGUUUAAUCAGGAUCUGGGAAAAUGACCCAUAAAGAUACCAUUCCACUGUACCACAUUCUGACUCCUCCAGAGUUCCAGGAGCUGGUCCUGGGUCUGCUGGUGGACAUCAGUCAGUGAGUGAAGGUUCUGGUAGGAUGGGUGGGAGUUUUGUAACACUGGGAUUCUGCUGAGGGUUCUGGACCUGGAACAGACUUCCAGUUUGAUGUGUGUAGAAUCCUGGAAGACGUGGCCAACCUGGAGAGAGUUCUAGAGACUCCGGAGGUAGCUGCCCAGAUGGUAUGUGGAUCUGCAGAGAAGCAUUGAUUGACAAACUGGCAUCAAUGAAUUUACCUCCACUUAAAGUUGUUGGUGUAACUCCAAUACAUAUCGAAUAAUACAUUUUUUGGUAGUUAAAAAAAACAUGUUUUUCAGAAACAGUUCCUGAGUAGGAUCGGUGGGAACACGUUGAGGGACAAUGUCACCGGAGUGAUGGAGAGGUGGACACACACUGCCUAAAAUACUGUUGUAAAUCUCUCUUUCUGUGACUGGUAUUUGAUGGGUAACAGUCUUCUCUUACUAGGCUGAUGACCAAUGAACUGAUGAGCAACUUCAACAUGAAAGGAAGGAAAUGGACCAAGAAGAGUUUUCUCACACACUCCCUGAGCAAAAUCUUUAUUGACAUCAUCUUGAUUACCCACCCAUAUGCCACUGAGUCUGCUGUCCUGCACCUGAUGGUCAACGUGCUGAAUACGCCCCAGACAGACAUGGAGGGGGAGGCCUACAAAACAGUUACAUGCACCUACCCCACUACCACUGCUCUGUUGCUGAUAACUGGGAUGAAUGCA
RNAcentral lists this long non-coding RNA (1057 nucleotides) under Oncorhynchus kisutch (coho salmon). RNAcentral's name for it is "lncRNA (ENSOKIG00005002096.1)". Lineage: Eukaryota; Metazoa; Chordata; Actinopteri; Salmoniformes; Salmonidae. The record is from RNAcentral.